ACUCCUACGGGAGGCAGCAGUAGGGAAUCUUCCGCAAUGGACGCAAGUCUGACGGAGCAACGCCGCGUGAGUGAAGAAGGUCUUCGGAUCGUAAAGCUCUGUUGUUAGAGAAGAACAGCGCAUAGAGUAACUGUUAUGCGUGUGACGGUAUCUAACCAGAAAGCCACGGCUAACUACGUGCCAGCAGCCGCGGUAAUACGUAGGUGGCGAGCGUUGUCCGGAUUUAUUGGGCGUAAAGGGAGUGUAGGCGGUCUUUUAAGUCUGAUGUGAAAGCCCACGGCUCAACCGUGGAGGGUCAUUGGAAACUGGGAGACUUGAGUGCAGAAGAGGAGAGCGGAAUUCCAUGUGUAGCGGUGAAAUGCGUAGAUAUAUGGAGGAACACCAGUGGCGAAGGCGGCUCUCUGGUCUGUAACUGACGCUGAGGCUCGAAAGCGUGGGGAGCAAACAGGAUUAGAUACCCUGGUAGGAUAGCGU
RNAcentral lists this ribosomal RNA (474 nucleotides) under uncultured bacterium. RNAcentral describes it as "bacterial SSU rRNA". It matches the Rfam family "Bacterial small subunit ribosomal RNA", at positions 335 to 800 of the family's 1533-position model. The record is from RNAcentral.